RNAcentral lists this ribosomal RNA (468 nucleotides) under uncultured bacterium. RNAcentral describes it as "partial 16S ribosomal RNA". It matches the Rfam family "Bacterial small subunit ribosomal RNA", at positions 28 to 523 of the family's 1533-position model. The record is from RNAcentral.
GAUGAACGCUGGCGGCGUGCCUAACACAUGCAAGUCGAGCGAUUUACUUCGGUAAAGAGCGGCGGACGGGUGAGUAACGCGUGGGUAACCUGCCCUGUACACACGGAUAACAUACCGAAAGGUAUGCUAAUACGAGAUAAUAUGCUUUUAUCGCAUGAUAGAAGUAUCAAAGCUCCGGAGGUACAGGAUGGACCCGCGUCUGAUUAGCUAGUUGGUAAGGUAACGGCUUACCAAGGCGACGAUCAGUAGCCGACCUGAGAGGGUGAUCGGCCACAUUGGAACUGAGACACGUUCCAAACUCCUACGGGAGGCAGCAGUGGGGAGUAUUGCACAAUGGGCGAAAGCCUGAUGCAGCAACGCCGCGUGAGCGAUGAAGGCCUUCGGGUCGUAAAGCUCUGUCCUCAAGGAAGAUAAUGACGGUACUUGAGGAGGAAGCCCCGGCUAACUACGUGCCAGCCGCCGCGGUAA